This 661-nucleotide ribosomal RNA is filed under the name Micrococcus sp. RNAcentral describes it as "bacterial SSU rRNA". It matches the Rfam family "Bacterial small subunit ribosomal RNA", at positions 54 to 728 of the family's 1533-position model. Lineage: Bacteria; Bacillati; Actinomycetota; Actinomycetes; Micrococcales; Micrococcaceae. The record is from RNAcentral.
CAUGCAAGUCGAACGAUGAAGCCCAGCUUGCUGGGUGGAUUAGUGGCGAACGGGUGAGUAACACGUGAGUAACCUGCCCUUAACUCUGGGAUAAGCCUGGGAAACUGGGUCUAAUACCGGAUAGGAGCGUCCACCGCAUGGUGGGUGUUGGAAAGAUUUAUCGGUUUUGGAUGGACUCGCGGCCUAUCAGCUUGUUGGUGAGGUAAUGGCUCACCAAGGCGACGACGGGUAGCCGGCCUGAGAGGGUGACCGGCCACACUGGGACUGAGACACGGCCCAGACUCCUACGGGAGGCAGCAGUGGGGAAUAUUGCACAAUGGGCGAAAGCCUGAUGCAGCGACGCCGCGUGAGGGAUGACGGCCUUCGGGUUGUAAACCUCUUUCAGUAGGGAAGAAGCGAAAGUGACGGUACCUGCAGAAGAAGCACCGGCUAACUACGUGCCAGCAGCCGCGGUAAUACGUAGGGUGCGAGCGUUAUCCGGAAUUAUUGGGCGUAAAGAGCUCGUAGGCGGUUUGUCGCGUCUGUCGUGAAAGUCCGGGGCUUAACCCCGGAUCUGCGGUGGGUACGGGCAGACUAGAGUGCAGUAGGGGAGACUGGAAUUCCUGGUGUAGCGGUGGAAUGCGCAGAUAUCAGGAGGAACACCGAUGGCGAAGGCAGGUCU